This 1901-nucleotide long non-coding RNA is filed under the name Nicotiana tabacum (common tobacco). RNAcentral's name for it is "long non-coding RNA (NTAB_LNC015161)". The record is from RNAcentral. Lineage: Eukaryota; Viridiplantae; Streptophyta; Magnoliopsida; Solanales; Solanaceae.
GCAAAUUAUCAUUUUGAGAUAGAAUUCUCUUAAAGGAGGCAACAGAGAAAGACAACGGCAGAGUGAUAUUGUCAGUUCUCAUACCAUUGUUUAUUUGCUGACAAUAUCACUCUCAUGAUAAUGACGGUGUUUAAUGAAUGAUAAAAAAUCAUCAUUUUUCUCCAACACAAGACCAAUAUGGUGCAACUUCACAAGCAUUUAGCCCUCUCUCGUACUUGAUAGCCAGUAUUUUCGUACUCUCCUUACAAUUUUCUCAAAUAUAUAUCCUAGUCCUAGCUAAAUGCUCAAAAUCUACAGGCUAAUAGUUCAUAAAGCAGGUCUUGAAACUAAUUUCAAAAUAAAUAAGAGUUUAACUAAACAAUCGAGGGACCAAGAACAUGCCAUACUACAUCUUGAACAUAAUUUAGGUGAGCAACUUUUGCCUACUCCUUUGGCAAACAAAAAGCUAUGAACUAUGCAGUCUCCGCACUAAAACUCAAGAAGUAAGGCCAAUUCAGAUGAGAUUUGACACACGAUAGACAUAUGGAGAAAGUGUGUGAACUAGUUAGUGCAAGUUAGAACCUCCUACAUCCCUAACAAAAAAUUUAGACAUUUUUUCGCCGUAGCUGGGAUACACUUGAGAAGACAGCAUCCCAUUCUUGUCUUCUGCGUUUAGGAAUCAUGCCACUGUUACAAGAAGGUGCCCAGGUAUUUGAGGAUAUAUUCUCAGUUAUCAUGCAAUAAACAAGCCUGGAAAUGCUGCAAACUGCAAAGUCAUCAAAAGAAACUAGUGUAACAUUUUGGUGAUUACUAAAGAGGAGGAUAUUUGAAACUACACUAUAAAUGAAACCAAGAAUAGAGAACAAGCACACAGAGAACAGAGAGGCUUUCAGUGCAAACAGAACACAGCAGCAAAAGAGGAAGUACUAAUUGAAAUGUCCUUAACUUCAGAGAUGUUGCUGCUUGUUGAUUGAAUAUAGUUUUCUCAAAAAAGAUUGGUUUUUUAUUAGUGGAGACAAACACCACCCUAAGAAAAGACCUCAAAUCCAGAUAUAACAGGAACAUUGUCAUCUAAAUCGGGAAAAUGGAGUUAACGUGAUAUGAUUAACAAAAUUACUACGACACCAUAGACUAAGACAUUUUCUUUCUUCAUAAACUUAAACUUGACUUUGAGCUUUCAUAUACUAGAGUUUUCUCAAUCACAUUUUUUUGCAACAAUAAAAGGGAAAAGAAUUGUUCAAAAUUAUUCCAAGGAAAAAAAGAACUAAAACACAAAUAAAGAAGCCUUAUCUUAAUAAAAAAUCAACCAAAGAAAUCUUGAACACCUUUUCCACCAAAAACUCUAUCAGAAAGUUCGGCCAAAAUGACAAUAACAGUGAGAAAAAUUACAAAACGACACUGGACCCAACUCAACUCAGAACUAAGAAGAAGUCGCACUAACCUGAGGAAGAAGGCGUCACAGCCGAGCUGAGGAAGAAGGCAGCAGUCACAGCAGAGACAGGAGCUGAGGAAGAACCCUAAAUCUAAUUUUUGAUUUAGGUUUUGGGAAAUGAAAAGUAAGUGACUAAGGUCUAAGUGUAAGUGUGUAACGUAUAAUCAGACUAUCAGUACAGUAAGUUUGGGUAAAUUGAGCUUCAAAGUUCAAAUGGGUAUUGGACUAUUGGCUUCAGCCUGAAAUGGGUAAUAAGUUUUGGACUCUCAAAAUAACUCACAUGCUCAAACCUAUUUUUCUUAACUAAUACCCAAAAAUUCGAUUUUUCGGUUUAACCGAAACACCAAAACCGUAAACCGCACCGAAAAAUCGAAAAUUAAUAAUUUAAACAUUGUGCCCCAACCGAAAAACCGAAAUUCACGGUUCGGCCGAUGUUUUCGAUUCGGCCGGUAUUAUGCCCACCCCUACUCUGGACCUAUUAUAGUAAAAG